GAGAAGUUCCUCAACAGGCUCCAUGAUGUCGAGGUCAAUUUAGAUUCACAUGGACUCUGGGAUAUACCCCAUCCAUGGCUCAAUUUGUUCGUGCCACGCUCGUCCAUCGCGUCAUUCGACGCCCUGAUUUUCAAGCAUUUGAUUAAGAGCGACUUCAAUGGGCCAAUCCUCAUAUAUCCGCUCAAGAGAGACAAGUAAUCUUCUCGUUCUCUUGAUCCUUCAUUAACAUUCACGAUAUUUCAAGGACAAGUAUGCAAUAUAGAGUGCCUUCACAAUUUUGAUUUACAGUUCGUGAUUCGUUCACCUUGACAGGUGGGACUCACAAUCGUCGGCGGUGAUACCAGAUGAAAGCGUCUUUUACCUUGUUGGCUUUCUUCGCAUUUCUCUCCCGUCAUCAGGGCCUCCUCUUAGCAGUUUGAUCGCUGAGAACGACAAGAUUAUGGAAGUUUGUCACAAUGCAAGUUUAGGGUGCAAGAUGUACCUUCCUGAGUACGAAGACACGGAAAGUUGGAAGUUUCAUUUCGGCAACCGAUGGGAGACAUUUUCUCGAAGGAAACACAAAUACGAUCCAGAAUUUAUUCUUGCCCCCGGUCAGAAUAUUUUCCCAAGAAUACGAGCUCACGAUCACCCUGACAACAAGUUGGCUACGACUGUUGUUUAAACUUUCAGAAAGCCUAGUGAGGAAUUUGUUCCAUGGACUUGUGGCCACCUGCCUGCAGAGUGCCAAACGCAGAUUCAGCAAGGGUAACCUUUUGCUAUUUUGAUUGGGGCUUCAGAUGAGAAGGCAAGAACCAACACCAUACUGAGGUUGAAGUUGGCACAAGAUUUUUGAAGCCAAACAGGCCGCAAAGGUUCAAGAAAAUGUAAAACUUUAGCGGCCCCGCGAGCGAGCUCCUGAAUGAAGACCAAAUGGGAGAGAAGCGAGUGGCUUCCACAGUAUUACCAUGAGUGAAGAGAAGUCAGGUUUUAGGGUUCCUCUUCUCUCUUUUUUCUAUUGUUGCACCAUUCUCAUCACAAAGAACAAUACGGAACCUGUAAAUUAAAUGCUGCAGAAAAACCCUUAGAUAGAAAACUAGUCAAGCAAAAGGAGAGGGUGGGCCAGAUCGCUUGGAGUGAUUAAGCUGUUUGGUUCUGCAGAUUGUAGUGAGCCAUGCACAUUAAAACAGCGCUCCAGAAUUUUCUCCGAUGACGAUGUUCGGCAUUCGCACCCCCCACUUUACUGCGUUUAGUGGCUUUCAUAUGUUCUCGUUCAACACUUUUAGAGAGACUUGAUACAAUCAGAUCAAAUCUGCCCUACCCGGAUUGUGCAGAGUAUUACAAAAUAAUCUUGAAUGUCUCAAGCAUUGAAUGCCCUCAUGCCCUAGUCCAUGCUCCGAAGGACGAAGGACGUCAAAAAUCCACACAUAGACAUACUUCGAUGUGGAGUAACCUAAAACAUGGAUGUCUGCGAAGCUGGGAAGUUAAGUUAUAGGGUUUCAGGUAUACUAAUAUGUUAAAAAUUACCUCCGUGUUAUCAAUGGAGCGCCAGGAUAUCAGUAAAACAGGCAUCGAGGCCAGAAUAAUUUGUUUUAACGGCUCGAAGGAAGCAAUUGAAGGUGAGGAACCAAACUGGGAGAAAAAGCUUCUCUUACACUGCGUAUUCUUCUACCAUAAUUAAUAACUAUUUUAAUGAUAUCAUACCUAGAC
Molecule: long non-coding RNA, 1686 nt
Filed under: Physcomitrium patens
Lineage: Eukaryota; Viridiplantae; Streptophyta; Bryopsida; Funariales; Funariaceae
Description: long non-coding RNA (PPAT_LNC013826)
Source: RNAcentral